Molecule: ribosomal RNA, 116 nt
Filed under: Pteropus alecto (black flying fox)
Lineage: Eukaryota; Metazoa; Chordata; Mammalia; Chiroptera; Pteropodidae
Source: RNAcentral
GUCUAUGGCCAUGCCACCCUGAAUACGCCCGAUCUUGUCUGAUCUCGGAAGCUAAGGGUCUGGCCUGGCUAGUACUUGGAUGGGAGACCACCUAGGAAGACCAGGAGCUGUAGGCG